GCACUGCUGAGGAGUCCCAUAAUAGGAUGAGACGGCCGUCCAAUGC
Non-coding RNA from Schistosoma haematobium, 46 nucleotides. The record is from Rfam. NCBI's taxonomy places the organism in Eukaryota, Metazoa, Platyhelminthes, Trematoda, Strigeidida, Schistosomatidae.